GCCCAGGUAGCUUACACUUAGAGCAUAGCACUGAAGAUGCUAAGGUAGCGAGACACUCACGCUCCAGGGCA
RNAcentral lists this transfer RNA (71 nucleotides) under Monetaria moneta. Its description in RNAcentral is "tRNA-Phe". It matches the Rfam family "tRNA". From Rfam's summary of the family: Transfer RNA (tRNA) molecules are approximately 80 nucleotides in length. The record is from RNAcentral. Lineage: Eukaryota; Metazoa; Mollusca; Gastropoda; Littorinimorpha; Cypraeidae.